RNAcentral lists this transfer RNA (88 nucleotides) under Spartobacteria bacterium LR76. It matches the Rfam family "tRNA". From Rfam's summary of the family: Transfer RNA (tRNA) molecules are approximately 80 nucleotides in length. Their secondary structure includes four short double-helical elements and three loops (D, anti-codon, and T loops). The record is from Rfam by way of RNAcentral. Lineage: Bacteria; Pseudomonadati; Verrucomicrobiota; Spartobacteria.
GGAAGGGUGGCUGAGUCCGGUUUAAGGCACACGACUCGAAAUCGUGCGACCCCAAAAGGGUCCGUGGGUUCGAAUCCCACCCCUUCCG